GAUGAACGCUGGCGGCGUGCCUAAUACAUGCAAGUCGAGCGAACAGACGAGGAGCUUGCUCCUCUGACGUUAGCGGCGGACGGGUGAGUAACACGUGGAUAACCUACCUAUAAGACUGGGAUAACUUCGGGAAACCGGAGCUAUACCGGAUAAUAUAUUGAACCGCAUGGUUCAAUAGUGAAAGACGGUUUUGCUGUCACUUAUAGAUGGAUCCGCGCCGCAUUAGCUAGUUGGUAAGGUAACGGCUUACCAAGGCGACGAUGCGUAGCCGACCUGAGAGGGUGAUCGGCCACACUGGAACUGAGACACGGUCCAGACUCCUACGGGAGGCAGCAGUAGGGAAUCUUCCGCAAUGGGCGAAAGCCUGACGGAGCAACGCCGCGUGAGUGAUGAAGGUCUUCGGAUCGUAAAACUCUGUUAUUAGGGAGGAACAAAUGUGUAAGUAACUAUGCACGUCUUGACGGUACCUAAACAGAAAGCCACGGCUAACUACGUG
This 496-nucleotide ribosomal RNA is filed under the name uncultured bacterium. RNAcentral describes it as "partial 16S ribosomal RNA". It matches the Rfam family "Bacterial small subunit ribosomal RNA", at positions 28 to 507 of the family's 1533-position model. The record is from RNAcentral.